RNAcentral lists this transfer RNA (71 nucleotides) under Armillaria borealis. Its description in RNAcentral is "tRNA-Ala". It matches the Rfam family "tRNA". Rfam says of the family: Transfer RNA (tRNA) molecules are approximately 80 nucleotides in length. Lineage: Eukaryota; Fungi; Basidiomycota; Agaricomycetes; Agaricales; Physalacriaceae. RNAcentral also lists the same sequence under 11 other names. The record is from RNAcentral.
GGGGGUAUAGGAUAAUGGUAGUCCUGUGUCUUUGCAAGACAUCUGUUCUCGUUCGACUCGAGAUAUCUCCA